RNAcentral lists this ribosomal RNA (434 nucleotides) under uncultured bacterium. Its description in RNAcentral is "partial 16S ribosomal RNA". It matches the Rfam family "Bacterial small subunit ribosomal RNA", at positions 29 to 507 of the family's 1533-position model. The record is from RNAcentral.
AGCGAACGCUGGCGGCAGGCCUAACACAUGCAAGUCGAACGAACCUUUCGGGGUUAGUGGCGGACGGGUGAGUAACACGUGGGAACGUGCCUUUAGGUUCGGAAUAACUCAGGGAAACUUGUGCUAAUACCGAAUGUGCCCUUCGGGGGAAAGAUUUAUCGCCUUCAGAGCGGCCCGCGUCUGAUUAGCUAGUUGGUUGAGGUAAUGGCUCACCAAGGCGACGAUCAGUAGCUGGUCUGAGAGGAUGAUCAGCCACAUUGGGACUGAGACACGGCCCAAACUCCUACGGGAGGCAGCAGUGGGGAAUCUUGCGCAAUGGGCGAAAGCCUGACGCAGCCAUGCCGCGUGAAUGAUGAAGGUCUUAGGAUUGUAAAAUUCUUUCACCGGGGACGAUAAUGACGGUACCCGGAGAAGAAGCCCCGGCUAACUUCGUG